RNAcentral lists this ribosomal RNA (465 nucleotides) under uncultured bacterium. RNAcentral's name for it is "bacterial SSU rRNA". It matches the Rfam family "Bacterial small subunit ribosomal RNA", at positions 338 to 795 of the family's 1533-position model. The record is from RNAcentral.
CCUACGGGCUGCAGCAGUGGGGAAUAUUGCACAAUGGGCGCAAGCCUGAUGCAGCCAUGCCGCGUGUGUGAAGAAGGCCUUCGGGUUGUAAAGCACUUUCAGCGGGGAGGAAGGCGAUAAGGUUAAUAACCUUGUUGAUUGACGUUACCUACAGAAGAAGCACCGGCUAACUCCGUGCCAGCAGCCGCGGUAAUACGGAGGGUGCGAGCGUUAAUCGGAAUUACUGGGCGUAAAGCGCACGCAGGCGGUUUGUUAAGUCAGAUGUGAAAUCCCCGGGCUCAACCUGGGAACUGCAUCUGAUACUGGCAAGCUUGAGUCUCGUAGAGGGGGGUAGAAUUCCAGGUGUAGCGGUGAAAUGCGUAGAGAUCUGGAGGAAUACCGGUGGCGAAGGCGGCCCCCUGGACGAAGACUGACGCUCAGGUGCGAAAGCGUGGGGAGCAAACAGGAUUAGAUACCCCCGUAGUC